This is a long non-coding RNA of Tympanuchus pallidicinctus (lesser prairie-chicken), 665 nucleotides long. RefSeq lists it as uncharacterized. Lineage: Eukaryota; Metazoa; Chordata; Aves; Galliformes; Phasianidae. The transcript has 6 exons. The record is from RefSeq and is a predicted model, not a curated record.
GCUUAUUUUCUUUUAAAGUGUGUGAACUGCAAAAAACAAACAGCAACUACAAAGAAAACCAACAAAGAAAAAACAUCCAACAAUGAUUUGCACGUCGAUCACCUUGGUUGCAGCUGUCCAGUGUUGUUCAGAGCCAAUACCAGUCUCAGCAAAGCAUCCACGGAGCUGGGAGUGAAUGGGGUAGCUGACUUAAAGUAGCCAAAAGGCACGAAUUUAAAAAGAAGUUUACUUGCAGAGGAAGAAAGGCCAUUUCCUUCUCUUUACCAGCCCACGGUAAGACACAUCUUACAGUCAGUUCCUCCCAGAAGCAGCCACCACCAUCCAGGAGCCUCCAGCAGCACUCAGGUGGACGUCAUUCCAAUGAAGAGGAACUGAGAACUGACAUGGCUGCUGCAGCCACCCCCUCUUGCCCCCUGGCUGCGGCGGUGCUGUUGCAGAGAAUAAAGGGACUCUAUUCUGCUUAUGGAUCGGGCAGGAAAAGCGGCUGUUUCAGUUGGUUUGCAGGUGUUGUGUGCUGCCAGCAGGCCACAAAGUGUCUAUAAAACAACACGUGGGUGAACCAACACACGCCUUUGUGAAACGAGAAGCAGCAGUUAAUACCGAACAUUAUUAUGUGCCAUCUAGUCUAACGUGGCGACAGAGAAGCACGCGAGAUUCUUUGGUGU